CAGCAGCCGCGGUAACACGGAGGGUGCAAGCGUUAAUCGGAAUUACUGGGCGUAAAGCGUGCGUAGGCGGUGAGUUAAGUCUGCUGUGAAAUCCCCGGGCUCAACCUGGGAAUGGCAGUGGAUACUGGCUCGCUAGAGUGUGUCAGAGGAUGGUGGAAUUCCCGGUGUAGCGGUGAAAUGCGUAGAGAUCGGGAGGAACAUCAGUGGCGAAGGCGGCCAUCUGGGACAACACUGGCGCUGAGGCACGAAAGCGUGGGGAGCAAACAGGAUUAGAUACCCCAGUAGUCCCUGUCUCUUAUAC
Molecule: ribosomal RNA, 301 nt
Filed under: uncultured bacterium
Lineage: Bacteria
Description: partial 16S ribosomal RNA
Rfam family: Bacterial small subunit ribosomal RNA
Source: RNAcentral